This 525-nucleotide long non-coding RNA is filed under the name Nicotiana tabacum (common tobacco). Its description in RNAcentral is "long non-coding RNA (NTAB_LNC012175)". Lineage: Eukaryota; Viridiplantae; Streptophyta; Magnoliopsida; Solanales; Solanaceae. The record is from RNAcentral.
CAGCCAUUUGUUUUCUUUUAUGCUUUUUGUAUCUUUUCUGAAAAAAAAAAAGAAAUAGACUAAGAAAAACCUUCAAGAAAAGUGACGAUUUCAACCCUAGAAAUUUUACUCGACUAACUUUUUUCUGAAGAUUUUUCUCCGAUUUUUUCUCUAUAUUUUCCCUUUUUUUAGCACAUAGGACUCACCUCAUAUAUAUAGUCUUCAAAAUCUUCAAAUAAUCUGCCCAAAAAUUCGAAAAAUCCCUCAAGUUUUUGAACAAUUUUGGGACAAAUGGAGGGCGUGGAUUGAUUCACAUCUAUCCACGGCUCCCAUUCAUCCAACAAUUGUCCUUUCUGCACCCAAAAUCAUGCGAUUUGGGAGAGAAAAUUCGUACUCCUCUCUGACAAAUCCGUUAGGACUCAAAUGACGUGAAGGGGGGACCGUUUUGAGUGAGCUCGCUCAAAACUCAGGCUAGUUAAGGUAAGUCAAGGAGGAAGAAGAUGAAGGAAUAGGGUGAAGCGCCAUUUCUCUGAUUUCUCUAGGGUU